Mycetomoellerius zeteki is the source of this 91-nucleotide long non-coding RNA. RefSeq lists it as uncharacterized. The transcript is spliced from 3 exons. The record is from RefSeq and is a predicted model, not a curated record. Lineage: Eukaryota; Metazoa; Arthropoda; Insecta; Hymenoptera; Formicidae.
AGCGAAUUCCCAGAACAUAGACUAAGGGUGCCUUCCAACAAGCAACACAGUGCGACACAGUGAUCGUGUCAUCUUUGUUUAACAUUGACAA